Setaria italica (foxtail millet) is the source of this 668-nucleotide long non-coding RNA. RefSeq lists it as uncharacterized. The transcript has 3 exons. NCBI's taxonomy places the organism in Eukaryota, Viridiplantae, Streptophyta, Magnoliopsida, Poales, Poaceae. The record is from RefSeq and is a predicted model, not a curated record.
GACUGGCAGAUGUUCUGGUUCAUUCAAAUGGAUACUUGACGAGAUGAAGUGUACCAGGUUUCUUAAAAAUCAACUGUCAGAGGUGUCUUACACAUAAGAAGUGCGGCCGAAGAACUCAGCUCAAUCAUCAUGUGCCAAGUGCCAAGGACCAACCAUCACAUAGAACUACGUGUUGUGUUGGAAGAUAAUGGAUCAUCUUUUCCUAUAAAAAGGUUUUUUUAGAAGUUAUAAAAAGGUUGAUGCAUAAUUGUUUAACUUACUUGGACUUGUUAUCUGCAGCAAGAGAUUUCUGGAAUCACAUUGUUUCAGGCUUUCAGUGGGUUAGCAGUUCAGCAUUCACUUGCUGGCGGCAACUGAUCAGCGCUUCAGCAGUUCAGGCUUAAUACAUUUUCAGGUCUUGCAGAAUGAUUUGCUUUUGCAGCUUGGCUGUAAUAAAAAUAGGCUCUGCCAGUUGUACGAGUAAGAAAUUUAUGGAUGAUUUUCUGAUAACUUUGUAUCUUAAUUGGAUGGUCAGUAUAGCUUGGGUUGUUUUCCAUUUUUCGUCAGAGGAGCCUGGAGCCUAACUAACGGCUUCAGCUUGUUCAGUUGGGCCUCUAGGUGAUAGCUCCUGGCUACUUUGUGGGCUGCACUCCCAGCCUCCCAGGCCCAAGAAGCAGAACAUUUUGGCG